Molecule: ribosomal RNA, 575 nt
Filed under: uncultured bacterium
Lineage: Bacteria
Description: bacterial SSU rRNA
Rfam family: Bacterial small subunit ribosomal RNA
Source: RNAcentral
CCUGAUAACCUGGCGGCGUGCCUAACACAUGCAAGUCGAACGAGCUUGCUUUCUUCGCAAGAGGAAGGGGAGCGAGUGGCGGACGGGUGAGCAACACGUGGGUGACCUGCCCUGUGGUGAGGAAUACCGGCGAGAAAUCGCCGACAAUACCGCAUAGGCUCUCGUGAGAGAGCAAAGCCCGCAAGGGCGCCAGAGGAUGGGCCCGCGGCCGAUUAGCUGGUUGGUGGGGUAAGAGCCUACCAAGGCGACGAUCGGUAGCUGGUCUGAGAGGGCGAUCAGCCACACUGGGAUUGAGAACGGCCCAGACUCCUACGGGGGGCAGCAGUGAGGAAUUUUCGGCAAUGGGGGCAACCCUGACCGAGCAACGCCGCGUGCAGGAAGAAGGUCUUCGGAUCGUAAACUGCUUUUCUCGGGGAAGAGAAUGGACGGUACCCGAGGAAUCAGCCCCGGCUAACUACGUGCCAGCAGCCGCGGUAAUACGUUAGGGGGCGAGCGUUGUCCGGAGUUACUGGGCGUUAAGCGCACGCAGGCGGUCGUGUAAGUUUGGGGUUACAGCUCCCGGCUCAACUGGGAAA